This 252-nucleotide ribosomal RNA is filed under the name uncultured bacterium. RNAcentral describes it as "partial 16S ribosomal RNA". It matches the Rfam family "Bacterial small subunit ribosomal RNA", at positions 524 to 776 of the family's 1533-position model. The record is from RNAcentral.
UACAGAGGUCUCAAGCGUUGUUCGGAUUCAUUGGGCGUAAGGGGUGCGUAGGCGGCGCGGUAAGUCGGGUGUGAAAUCUCGGAGCUUAACUCCGAAACUGCAUUCGAUACUGCCGUGCUUGAGGACUGGAGAGGAGACUGGAAUUUACGGUGUAGCGGUGAAAUGCGUAGAUAUCGCAGGAAGACCAGUGGCGAAGGCGGGUCUCUGGACAGUUCCUGACGCUGAGGCACGAAGGUCAGGGGAGCAAACGGG